RNAcentral lists this long non-coding RNA (2062 nucleotides) under Marmota monax (woodchuck). The record is from RNAcentral. Lineage: Eukaryota; Metazoa; Chordata; Mammalia; Rodentia; Sciuridae.
UGGUGGAGAGGCGCCUGCAUGGGGUGAGGCCCGGGUCCUGCCACCCAGAGGAAACCUGAGCCGCAGCAGCUCCGGCUCCCCCUCUGCUGCCCCUCCCCACUGCUUUCCAAGUGCAGGUGGUGAGGCCAGUGGCCUGGUGGGUGACGGCCCUCCAGGUACUAGGAGGAAACUGUCCCCAGGGUGUUUGCUGGCUUGCAGUUAACAUGAGGCCUCUUCAGAGGAGAAACUUCUCCACUUCACAUCAGCCGUCUCUGGGUGAGUUUCUGCUCAGCUCUAGGCGUCUCCGCUGUAAGUCUGAACCUCCCUUCAUGGCUCGUCCGUUGUGCCGGAUCUAGCAACCUUACUGUGCACACAUGUCACUGGGGAUCCUGAGGAAAUGAGGGAUUCUGAUCCAACAGAAAAAGAGAGAAUUCAUUUUGCUGCGCUCAGAACUUACUAGAAUUGCUUACAGCCAAGUUAGAACUCCAGAUUCCAGCCUGAGUCAGGGACAUGGGGCUCUGGAAAAGGACACCUCGGUGGUUUGCAAGGAGAGAGAAAGCAGGGCAAUUCAGAGCUGGGCACUCUCCGUGAUGGGUGGACAAGAGAAGUGAAACUGAAACAGAUCUAAGGCAGGGUUAUUUUUAUUUCCUCAACAUGUGCCAACAAAAACAACAACAAUAAAAAAAAAAUUAAACAGGGAAAAAGGAUUGCAUUCUUUCCAUGCAAAAAGGCUCUUUUGCCAAGUGAAAAUUCAGCUCUCAGAUGAUCUUCUAAGACUUUUAGGAAGACAACGUUGCCUUCAACCUCAAACCCUGGGUGUUACUGAUUUUCCAUAAUACUUGUGAUGCAUUUAUUUCAGAAGAAGAAGGAGAAAAGAAAGAAGAGGAAGAAGAGGAGGAAGGAGGAAGAGGAAGAGGAAGAGGAGGAGGAGAAGGGGAAAGAGAAAGGGGGGAAGGGAUUAUGAUUAUUAUUAGAACUGUAAUGAUUGUUAGAGGGAAAGAUCUAACUAUGACCUUCUGCAGGGCAGGGCAAGAGUGUGGAGAAAGCAUGAAUUUUGAAAUACUUCCCUCCCAGGAUGGGAUUUGGCUCUGGCAUUAGACUUAGGGAAAGCAGCUGCCAUAGCUGGGCCUAUGUGGCCCAGUCUGUGAAAUGGGGUGAUGAUGCUGUCACUGCAGUGCAGCUGGGCGCACUCUGCAUGUGUUUGUGGAGGGGCUCCUACCCAGGGGGCCUUGACAGGCGUCUUACAAAUCCAGAGCCUAGGUCCCAUGGGACCAGGCCAUUACCCCAGAUAGAAUUGCAUCCCAGUAGACUGCUCUGAGCACAAAUGUAUUCUAAAACCUCUGGAUGGGAGCUAAUCACUGCGGAAGUCACAGAGCCUCAGUUCCAGAUAUCAGAAGAGCCCCCAAAAAUGAGACCCUGGGGAAUGGCAGAGAAUGUUCUCUUUCUUUUCAAAUGACAAAUUUAUACAUGUGAAAAGUUUGAAACGACAUGCCAAAUAAAUCAUGAGUAGUCAUCAUAUAGCUGGUCACCUUUAUUAGGAAACAAUAAAAUGCAUGAAGUCGGUAGGGUGCAGGGAGGUGCAGGUCACAAGAGUCCCUGUACGAUUCUUUCCUCCUGUCCUAAGUUGGCACAGCAGCUCUCUUGCUCAUGAUUUAGACAAUGCACAACUGGCUGCUUCAGUCAAAAAGAGAGAGACGAUUUGCUGGUAAGAUCCUCUGCUUUUUCUAGGAAAAUUCCACUCCAAGAUUCUGUAUGGACUCUCAUCCAAACACAUGGCAGGUGAUCAUCUAAACCACCCAGGGAAGGUGCCGGGGUAAACAUCUAAUUAAUUAAAGAAAACCUCCCUCCCCACCCCAACCUGGAAAAGGCCCUGUCAUGGAGAAGUGCUCACUCUUGCCAAUGCACGCUCACACACGUACUUUCCAAACCGCUUCCAGGUGACUGGUCCGCAAGCGGCCUGCCUCUGUUAAUUAAAGUCUACAAACCUUCAAGCCCAUCGCCCUUCCUUGGUUGUCUGCGUGACCACAACCCCUACGCUCUUCCAAGCAACAUUUGCUCCAACUUAAUAUUCUGGUGCUUUCAG